Caenorhabditis elegans is the source of this 183-nucleotide non-coding RNA. Lineage: Eukaryota; Metazoa; Nematoda; Chromadorea; Rhabditida; Rhabditidae. The record is from Ensembl.
UGCUGUCUCCGGUUAAACAUUGAAACCCUUCAAUAAAUUGCACGGGUCAUAAACUCGAUGCCCUCCUCCUCCCACACACGGCAACCUUCCUUUAUUCUCACUUUUCCCUCUUCUUGCAACUUCUUUACAACAAUCACGGGAGGAGUUGACAAUGAAGAUAAUGGGAUCCAAUAUCUGAAAAAA